RNAcentral lists this transfer RNA (71 nucleotides) under Paraburkholderia tropica. Its description in RNAcentral is "tRNA-OTHER". It matches the Rfam family "tRNA". From Rfam's summary of the family: Transfer RNA (tRNA) molecules are approximately 80 nucleotides in length. Their secondary structure includes four short double-helical elements and three loops (D, anti-codon, and T loops). Further hydrogen bonds mediate the characteristic L-shaped molecular structure. tRNAs have two regions of fundamental functional importance: the anti-codon, which is responsible for specific mRNA codon recognition, and the 3' end, to which the tRNAs corresponding amino acid is attached (by aminoacyl-tRNA synthetases). tRNAs cope with the degeneracy of the genetic code in two manners: having more than one tRNA (with a specific anti-codon) for a particular amino acid; and 'wobble' base-pairing, i.e. permitting non-standard base-pairing at the 3rd anti-codon position. The record is from RNAcentral. Lineage: Bacteria; Pseudomonadati; Pseudomonadota; Betaproteobacteria; Burkholderiales; Burkholderiaceae.
GGGUCCUUAGCUCAGCGGGAGAGCAGCGGACUUUAAUCCGUCGGUCGCGGGUGCGAACCCCGCACGGCUCA